UACAGAGGGUGCAAGCGUUAAUCGGAUUUACUGGGCGUAAAGCGUGCGUAGGUGGUUCAGUAUGUCGGUCGUGAAAUCCCCGGGCUUAACCUGGGAACUGCGGCCGAAACUGCUGGGCUAGAGUGUGGUAGAGGGCGGUGGAAUUCCGGGUGUAGCGGUGAAAUGCGUAGAUAUCCGGAGGAACAUCGAUGGCGAAGGCAGCCGCCUGGGCCACAACUGACACUGAGGUACGAAAGCGUGGGGAGCAAACAGG
RNAcentral lists this ribosomal RNA (253 nucleotides) under uncultured prokaryote. Its description in RNAcentral is "partial 16S ribosomal RNA". It matches the Rfam family "Bacterial small subunit ribosomal RNA", at positions 524 to 776 of the family's 1533-position model. The record is from RNAcentral.